Molecule: ribosomal RNA, 252 nt
Filed under: uncultured bacterium
Lineage: Bacteria
Description: partial 16S ribosomal RNA
Rfam family: Bacterial small subunit ribosomal RNA
Source: RNAcentral
UACGUAGGGCGCAAGCGUUGUCCGGAAUUAUUGGGCGUAAAGAGCUCGUAGGCGGUCUGUCGCGUCCGUUGUGAAAACUCGAGGCUCAACCUCGGGCUUGCAGUGGAUACGGGCAGACUAGAGUGCGGUAGGGGAGACUGGAAUUCCUGGUGUAGCGGUGGAAUGCGCAGAUAUCAGGAGGAACACCGAUGCGAAGGCAGGUCUCUGGGCCGCAACUGACGCUGAGGAGCGAAAGCAUGGGGAGCGAACAGG